AUGUUUAUUAAGCAGCGUGCACAUUACGUGAGGCAGCAAGUCCUGCACUGGUCCCGGGAGUGGCGCCUCUGGAAAGGGCACGGUGGCUCCUUGAUGAAUGACUUUAAUAAGAAGCAGCUUGGAAGUACCUUCAAAAAAAGAAUGAAAGUGGCUGGCAAUGAAAACACAUCUACCCAGGAUGGUUCAAAUGAAGAUAAACAGGAGAUCAGAAGCCGUAUUGGGGGAGUGAAUUUUUCUUCAUCAACUUUCCUGCUUCCAGCUGAGAAUAUUGUAUUCGCUUUUGCUUCGCGGAGCCACGGGAGCAGAUGUAAAGCAGCAGCUGAAGGUGUCGCAGGGACAGGGGAUGAGGUGGGAGCAUGAUGUGACCUGUAGCUUCAGCAUCUCAGCACGGGGCUUCCAGCCACAUUUGCAUUUCAUUUAUCAUCACUCCAAACAAAUCUAUGUGUCUGCAGCAGGGUGGCAUGAAAAAUUAAUGCCCCGUGUCAGGCCGAGCUUGUCAGAGUGACAGUGCAGAAAGGGAAUAACAAAAGGGUAACAUGCAUGGUCCUUUCUACUUAACAGCCACUCUCAUGUUCCCUGAAUGCCUUCUCUUGAGCCUGCGUGUUGGGGCUGAUGGAGCAGCCAGACCCUUCCUGUAGGCUGAAGGUGGAGAGCCUGUUUCUGGGCAGUAGCUCAGGCCAUGUUUCAGGAGUUUGCUUGGCCUCCCGACCCAGUGAGGGCAGAAGUCACUGUGGUCGGAGUUGGGUGACCAGUCUUUGCUGAGCCAUCUUGGACACAGGAGGAGAAAGAAGGCAGCCUUCCCAGCCCCAAGGAUUCUCAGAAAGUAGGCAAGGGCAGAGAUGUUCUAGAGAGGCUGAUGUGUAGAAUUACCUGGGGGAUAGGUGGAUAAGAGGCUGGGAUGACUUGAGCAUCUGUUGCUUCAGAACCUUCUUGAGAUGCCAGCCGGGUGCAGUGGCUCAUGCCUGUAAUCCCAGCACUUUAGGAGGCCGAGGCAGUUGGAUCACCUGAGGUCAGGAGUUCAAGACCAGCCUGGCCAACAUGGUGAAACCCCAUCUCUGCUAAAAAUACAAAAUUAGCCAGGCAUGGUGGCACAUGCCUGUAGUCCCAGCUACUCGGGAGGCUGAGGCAGGAGAAUCGCUUGAACCCGGGAGGUGGAGGUUGCAGUGAGCGACCCGAGAUCGUGCCAUUAUACUCCAGCCUGGGCAACAAGAGCAAAACUCCCAUCUCAAAAAACAAAAAAAAGAACCUUCUUGAGAGGUAGAUUGAUUGGAAGUUUCCCAGCACAUGUAGAUGCUCAACAAAUUUUGGUUUAGUCUGAAUCCAAUACUGGCUUCUUUCUGACAUGGUCACAGCAGUGGAAAUAGUCACCUUCUUCCUGCAGCAGGAAGGGUAUAGUGAUAAAGACUGUGGAUUCUGGAGCCAGACUGCCUGGGUUCAAAUCCCAGCAUCACCACUUCUCAACUGUGUGACCUUGGGCAAAUUGUUUCACAUCUUUGUGCCUCAGCCUCAUAUGUGUAAAGUGUGUAGAAAAAUGUUUGGUGCUUGGUAUUAGUUGAAUUCAUGGUUAUUAUUUCCCUAAUCUUCAUCCAAGGUGAGUGGAUGAGGAAGGGCUGUGGGACUCGGAGACCUAGCCUUAGGCUAUGUAGAAAACGUCGUGUGGCUAGAGUUUUGGAGUGUGAGUUAGGAGCUUGUUGACUUGCCAGAUGGCUUUGGGAAAAAUCGACAUCCUCUUCUGUCUUGUUGACCUGUUGAAGAAGAGAUACCUCCUGCCUCCCUUCCCUAGCAAGGAUCAGCAUAAGAGUGAUGUUAGGUUUAUGAGAUGAACCACCUCCCUACAAGCCAGGCCAGGCAAGGCACCCUCUUCUUAGGCAGUAGAAGGGAACAAACCUUUUCUGCCCUUUGUGGAAAUGUAGUAUUAUUUCUGAAUGUUAAUGCACUGGAUAUCUUCCCUCUUGCACAUUAGGAUCCCUGAGGAGUUUUUAAAAAUUGCUGAAGUCUAGAACACUUACCUAGAGAUUCUGAUAUGACUACUCUAAGAUGAGGUCUGGAUAGUAGUAUAUUUUUAUGGUUCCCCAAGUGGUUCUGAUGUUCAGAGGGGGUUGAGAACCUCUGGUUUAAGGUACUCUGAUUAUUGCAAUAUUUAAUUCUGGAAUACAUUUUUUUUCUGUUACACAAGGAAAGAGGUAAUGAAUGAGUGAGGAGAAUCUGCAGGAGGUGUGUGGGCCUGACAGGAGGGAUGUGUGCACCUUUGGUAUAAGGGCUGUGAUGUGAUUUUGCGUGGGACGUGGAUGAAACUGUGGUAGGAAUGGCAAAAGUGGUUCAAAAUGGCAGGGGUUUGAGAAAACUUGGGGAGAGCAUUCACUGUGCUUUGGGGCUGGAUAGGGCAUCAGCUUUCCUGCUGUAGCCUGAGAAAUAGGAAGUUCUGCGGACAUUUAGGCAAGUGUUAAGAGGCUGUAUGAGUCUGUUCUCACACUGCUAAUAAAGACAUACCUGAGACUGGGUAAUUUAUAAAGAAAAGAGUUUUAAUGGACUCACAAUUCCACAUGGCUGGGGAGGCCUCACAAUCAUGGUGGAAGGUAAAGGAGGAGCAAAGGCAUGUCUUACAUGGUGGCGGGCAAGAGAGCGUGUGCAGGGGAAUUCCCAUUUAUAAAACCAUCAAAUCUCAUGAGACUUAUUUACUAUCACAAGAACAGUAUGGGGGAAACCACUCCCAUGAUUCAGUUAUCUCCAUCUGACCCCACCCUUCACACGUGGAGAUUAUUACAAUUCAAUGUAAGAUUUGGGUGGGGACACAGCCAAACCAUAUCAGAGGCAUUGAGAGAUAAAUUUGUUUCUUUGGUUUAAUUAUAUAUAUGUA
Molecule: long non-coding RNA, 2857 nt
Filed under: Macaca mulatta (Rhesus monkey)
Lineage: Eukaryota; Metazoa; Chordata; Mammalia; Primates; Cercopithecidae
Description: lncRNA (ENSMMUG00000052068.1)
Source: RNAcentral